AUGAAGGAGCUUCAAGAUGAGAAUUGGAUCAGAUCUAUCGCCCGUCUGGCAUCGCCCGCCCAACUACACAAGUUCAUUACGCUUGCAUCUGUGACCUCUCAGAUUGCAUUAUCCGCUGACCAGGAGGACUCCAUUUCUUGGCGAUGGACCCCUAAUGGCAUCUACUUCGCUACUUCAGCUUACGCGGCCCAGUUCUCUGGAUCCUUCCCCAGGUUCUCCCCGUCCAAGAUUUGGGAGGCACACGCGGAGCCAAAAUGCAAGCCCUUCUCAUGGCUAGUGCUCCAUGGGAAGUGA
RNAcentral lists this ribosomal RNA (294 nucleotides) under Triticum aestivum (bread wheat). Its description in RNAcentral is "partial small subunit ribosomal RNA". The record is from RNAcentral. Lineage: Eukaryota; Viridiplantae; Streptophyta; Magnoliopsida; Poales; Poaceae.